This 69-nucleotide transfer RNA is filed under the name Spirochaetota bacterium. RNAcentral's name for it is "Spirochaetes bacterium tRNA-Ser". It matches the Rfam family "tRNA". From Rfam's summary of the family: Transfer RNA (tRNA) molecules are approximately 80 nucleotides in length. Their secondary structure includes four short double-helical elements and three loops (D, anti-codon, and T loops). Further hydrogen bonds mediate the characteristic L-shaped molecular structure. tRNAs have two regions of fundamental functional importance: the anti-codon, which is responsible for specific mRNA codon recognition, and the 3' end, to which the tRNAs corresponding amino acid is attached (by aminoacyl-tRNA synthetases). tRNAs cope with the degeneracy of the genetic code in two manners: having more than one tRNA (with a specific anti-codon) for a particular amino acid; and 'wobble' base-pairing, i.e. permitting non-standard base-pairing at the 3rd anti-codon position. Lineage: Bacteria; Pseudomonadati; Spirochaetota. The record is from RNAcentral.
AGCGGAUUAGCUCAAUGGUAGAGCUACGGUCGGACGCCGUGGUCGCGGGUUCGAGUCCCGCAUCUGCUA